AGAGUUUGAUCCUGGCUCAGGACGAACGCUGGCGGCGUGCCUAACACAUGCAAGUCGAACGGAGAAUUUCGAAGAGUUUACUUAGAGAAAUUUUUAGUGGCGGACGGGUGAGUAACGCGUGGGUAACCUACCCAUAAACCCGGGACAACCCUUGGAAACGAGGGCUAAUACCGGGUAAUCUUAAAUCUUGGCAUCAAGAAUUAAGGAAAGGUGGCCUCUGAAUAUGCUACCGAUUAUGGAUGGACCCGCGUCUGAUUAGCUAGUUGGUGGGGUAAAGGCCUACCAAGGCGACGAUCAGUAGCCGGCCUGAGAGGGUGAACGGCCACACUGGGACUGAGACACGGCCCAGACUCCUACGGGAGGCAGCAGUGGGGAAUCUUCCGCAAUGGACGAAAGUCUGACGGAGCAACGCCGCGUGUAUGAUGAAGGUCUUCGGAUUGUAAAGUACUGUCUUUGGGGAAGAAUGACUGUUUUGAAAAUAUUGAGUCAGUAUGACGGUACCCAAGGAGGAAGCCCCGGCUAACUACGUGCCAGCCGCCGCGGUAAUAC
This 549-nucleotide ribosomal RNA is filed under the name uncultured Desulfosporosinus sp. Its description in RNAcentral is "bacterial SSU rRNA". It matches the Rfam family "Bacterial small subunit ribosomal RNA", at positions 8 to 526 of the family's 1533-position model. Lineage: Bacteria; Bacillati; Bacillota; Clostridia; Eubacteriales; Desulfitobacteriaceae. The record is from RNAcentral.